This 664-nucleotide long non-coding RNA is filed under the name Homo sapiens (human). RNAcentral's name for it is "long non-coding RNA NONHSAT200445.1". The record is from RNAcentral. Lineage: Eukaryota; Metazoa; Chordata; Mammalia; Primates; Hominidae.
CCUGCUGAGCCCACAGAGUAGCUGGGAUUACAGAUGCGUGCCACCUCACCCAGUUACAUCUUCCUGAGGAUAGAGCCUACAUAGAAGUUCAGCAAAUAUCUGGUCUUUUCCACACCUGGGAAGAUGUGGGUAUAGGCCACUAUGUGUUUUCCUUUCAAAAUAAGGUGAAAGAAAACUAAAGAAAUACCAGUGCAGAAAGGAAGUUCUUUAUUUUCAGGUUGCUCAAGCUAAAACAAUAAGCAGCAUUUCAUGGAUGACUGGCAUGUCGCCUUUUACUCCUCAAGGCAGACUCAAGAGUUUUCCCAGAAACAGAGGACGAGCCCCUUGGCCAUGCAGCCCUAAGCCAGGCUGAUCCAGCCUUGUCUCGCCCCUCUCUGCAAGAGACUCGUGGGUACAGGAUGAUUGAGGGGGCCCCAGCCUCCCCAGCAGCUGCUGACUUGCGCUUGGAAAUUCAAUCCUCUCAAGAUACCUGAAGGCAGAGGGCGACCCUUUGACGUCUCAGGGCCAUAUAUCAGUUCCCUAACAGUGAAGCCCACAACAGGCAAGAAUUUCUGACAUGACAUGGGAAAAGCUGAAGAAGUCAGUCUUUGGGGUGUGUUUUCAUCUAGGAGGUGGCUUGAGAUGGAUUCAUGGCAAAUCACAAUAAAUUAUUUAUCAGAUAAUA